GACGAACGCUGGCGGCGUGCUUAACACAUGCAAGUCGAACGGAAAGGCCCUGCUUUUGUGGGGUGCUCGAGUGGCGAACGGGUGAGUAACACGUGAGUAACCUGCCCUUGACUUUGGGAUAACUUCAGGAAACUGGGGCUAAUACCGGAUAGGAGCUCCUGCUGCAUGGUGGGGGUUGGAAAGUUUCGGCGGUUGGGGAUGGACUCGCGGCUUAUCAGCUUGUUGGUGGGGUAGUGGCUUACCAAGGCUUUGACGGGUAGCCGGCCUGAGAGGGUGACCGGCCACAUUGGGACUGAGAUACGGCCCAGACUCCUACGGGCGGCAGCAGUGGGGAAUAUUGCACAGUGGGCGGAAGCCUGAUGCAGCAACGCCGCGUGCGGGAUGGCGGCCUUCGGGUGGUAAACCGCUUUCGCCUGUGACGAAGCGUGAGUGACGGUAAUGGGUAAAGAAGCACCGGCUAACUACGU
Molecule: ribosomal RNA, 467 nt
Filed under: uncultured bacterium
Lineage: Bacteria
Description: partial 16S ribosomal RNA
Rfam family: Bacterial small subunit ribosomal RNA
Source: RNAcentral